This is a long non-coding RNA of Thamnophis sirtalis, 358 nucleotides long. RefSeq lists it as uncharacterized. NCBI's taxonomy places the organism in Eukaryota, Metazoa, Chordata, Lepidosauria, Squamata, Natricidae. The record is from RefSeq and is a predicted model, not a curated record.
AAAGAAAAGGGGGCGAGGGAAGCGGGCAACUUAGCAGAAAAACCCGGGCUUCUGGCGGAGCCCAAGGAAAAGGCAAGCGGCUACCUUCCCUGGGAAGUGAAUGCGAUGGCACUGAACGGGGAUGACUUGUGGAGAAAUAUGUAUGAUAUUGAACAGAGUGGAUUUUACAGUGUGCCUAGUGAAACUGAGAGCAAAAUGCAGAAGGACUUCAAAUGCUGCAAACACUUAUUUGUCAGCUAGGAUCCUGGAAACUGUCAAAUAUGUUAUAUGGCCUAAUCCCCUUAAUAUAACCCGACAGACAAAGAAGAAUUACAUGUAUUUAAAACUACAAUAUCUUAUUAAAAUAUUGUUAACCUCA